Cyprinus carpio carpio is the source of this 312-nucleotide long non-coding RNA. NCBI's taxonomy places the organism in Eukaryota, Metazoa, Chordata, Actinopteri, Cypriniformes, Cyprinidae. The record is from Ensembl.
AAAACAUGUCACUUCCUGUUGCCAGCAGGUGGCGCUAUAGCGAUAUCUGAAUAUUGGCAUGUAGAUAUAUUCAGGUCAGGAGUCUUCUCAAACAUGUGAAGUUUGGGGCAGAUUGGACAUUGUAUGUCUGAGUUAUAGCAACUUCCUUUCUCAUGGCAAAACAUCGAAAUUUGUAAGGCCGCCACAGACACGCCCUUCAACGAAACCUCAAGAUCUUCGCAAUUUAACAUCGCAAAGGCCUUUAGAUUACACAGACAAAGUUUGGUGUUGAUCUGAAUAAAUCUCUAGGAGGAGUUCGUUAAAGUACAACCC